AUACGGAGGGUUCAAGCGUUAUCCGGAUUUAUUGGGUUUAAAGGGUCCGUAGGCGGGCUAAUAAGUCAGUGGUGAAAUCCUAUCGCUUAACGAUAGAACUGCCAUUGAAACUGUUAGUCUUGAAUUAUUUUGAAGUUGGCGGAAUGAGUAGUGUAGCGGUGAAAUGCAUAGAUAUUGCUCAGAACACCGAUUGCGAAGGCAGCUGACUAAGAAUAUAUUGACGCUGAUGGACGAAAGCGUAGGUAGCGAACAGGAUUAGAAACCCCGGUAGUCC
This 274-nucleotide ribosomal RNA is filed under the name uncultured bacterium. RNAcentral's name for it is "partial 16S ribosomal RNA". It matches the Rfam family "Bacterial small subunit ribosomal RNA", at positions 523 to 796 of the family's 1533-position model. The record is from RNAcentral.